This 500-nucleotide ribosomal RNA is filed under the name uncultured bacterium. Its description in RNAcentral is "partial 16S ribosomal RNA". It matches the Rfam family "Bacterial small subunit ribosomal RNA", at positions 30 to 523 of the family's 1533-position model. The record is from RNAcentral.
AUUGAACGCUGGCGGCAUGCCUUACACAUGCAAGUCGAACGGCAGCACGGGAGCAAUCCUGGUGGCGAGUGGCGAACGGGUGAGUAAUAUAUCGGAACGUGCCCAGUCGUGGGGGAUAACGUAGCGAAAGCUACGCUAAUACCGCAUACGAUCUAUGGAUGAAAGCGGGGGAUCGCAAGACCUCGCGCGAUUGGAGCGGCCGAUAUCAGAUUAGGUAGUUGGUGAGGGAAAGGCUCACCAAGCCGACGAUCUGUAGCGGGUCUGAGAGGACGACCAGCCACACUGGGACUGAGACACGGCCCAGACUCCUACGGGAGGCAGCAGUGGGGAAUUUUGGACAAUGGGCGCAAGCCUGAUCCAGCAAUGCCGCGUGCAGGAUGAAGGCCUUCGGGUUGUAAACUGCUUUUGUACGGAACGAAACGGCGAGCUCUAAUACAGCUUGCUAACGACGGUACUGUAAGAAUAAGCACCGGCUAACUACGUGCCAGCCGCCGCCGUAA